This 482-nucleotide ribosomal RNA is filed under the name uncultured bacterium. Its description in RNAcentral is "SSU rRNA". It matches the Rfam family "Bacterial small subunit ribosomal RNA", at positions 26 to 518 of the family's 1533-position model. The record is from RNAcentral.
AGGACGAACGCUGGCGGCGUGCCUAACACAUGCAAGUCGAACGCGCUCCAUUCGGUAGCAAUACUGAUGAAGAGCGAGUGGCGAACGGGUGAGUAGCGCGUGAGCAACCUGCCCCGAAGACUGGGACAACACCGGGAAACCGGUGCUAAUACCGGAUAUCCCUAUCGGACCGCAUGAUCUGAUAAGGAAAUGGAUUCCGCUUCGGGAGGGGCUCGCGGCCUAUCAGCUAGUUGGUGAGGUAACGGCCCACCAAGGCAUCGACGGGUAGCUGGUCUGAGAGGACGAUCAGCCACACUGGGACUGAGACACGGCCCAGACUCCUACGGGAGGCAGCAGUGGGGAAUCUUGCGCAAUGGGCGAAAGCCUGACGCAGCAACGCCGCGUGGAGGACGAAGGCUUUCUGAGUUGUAAACUCCUUUCAGCAGGGACGAUAGUGACGGUACCUGCAGAAGAAGCACCGGCCAAUACGUGCCAGCAGCCGA